AGAGUUUGAUCCUGGCUCAGGACGAACGCUGGCGGCGUGCCUAAUACAUGCAAGUCGAGCGAGCUUGCCUAGAUGAUUUUAGUGCUUGCACUAAAUGAAACUAGAUACAAGCGAGCGGCGGACGGGUGAGUAACACGUGGGUAACCUGCCCAAGAGACUGGGAUAACACCUGGAAACAGAUGCUAAUACCGGAUAACAACACUAGACGCAUGUCUAGAGUUUGAAAGAUGGUUCUGCUAUCACUCUUGGAUGGACCUGCGGUGCAUUAGCUAGUUGGUAAGGUAACGGCUUACCAAGGCAAUGAAGCAUAGCCGAGUUGAGAGACUGAUCGGCCACAUUGGGACUGAGACACGGCCCAAACUCCUACGGGAGGCAGCAGUAGGGAAUCUUCCACAAUGGACGAAAGUCUGAUGGAGCAACGCCGCGUGAGUGAAGAAGGGUUUCGGCUCGUAAAGCUCUGUUGGUAGUGAAGAAAGAUAGAGGUAGUAACUGGCCUUUAUUUGACGGUAAUUACUUAGAAAGUCACGGCUAACUACGUGCCAGCAGCCGCGGUAAUACGUAGGUGGCAAGCGUUGUCCGGAUUUAUUGGGCGUAAAGCGAGUGCAGGCGGUUCAAUAAGUCUGAUGUGAAAGCCUUCGGCUCAACCGGAGAAUUGCAUCAGAAACUGUUGAACUUGAGUGCAGAAGAGGAGAGUGGAACUCCAUGUGUAGCGGUGGAAUGCGUAGAUAUAUGGAAGAACACCAGUGGCGAAGGCGGCUCUCUGGUCUGCAACUGACGCUGAGGCUCGAAAGCAUGGGUAGCGAACAGGAUUAGAUACCCUGGUAGUCCAUGCCGUAAACGAUG
RNAcentral lists this ribosomal RNA (843 nucleotides) under uncultured bacterium. Its description in RNAcentral is "bacterial SSU rRNA". It matches the Rfam family "Bacterial small subunit ribosomal RNA", at positions 8 to 811 of the family's 1533-position model. The record is from RNAcentral.